Molecule: ribosomal RNA, 175 nt
Filed under: uncultured bacterium
Lineage: Bacteria
Description: partial 16S ribosomal RNA
Rfam family: Bacterial small subunit ribosomal RNA
Source: RNAcentral
GCCGGAAUUGCUAGUAAUGGCAGGUCAGCAUACUGCCGUGAAUACGUUCCCGGGCCUUGUACACACCGCCCGUCACACCAUGAGAGUUGGGAAUACCCGAAGCCUGUGAGCUAACUAUAUGAGGCAGCAGUCGAAGGUAGAAUCAAUGAUUGGAGUGAAGUCGUAACAAGGUAAC